Cavia porcellus (domestic guinea pig) is the source of this 102-nucleotide unclassified non-coding RNA. It matches the Rfam family "Y RNA". From Rfam's summary of the family: Y RNAs are components of the Ro ribonucleoprotein particle (Ro RNP), in association with Ro60 and La proteins. The Y RNAs and Ro60 and La proteins are well conserved, but the function of the Ro RNP is not known. In humans the RNA component can be one of four small RNAs -- hY1, hY3, hY4 and hY5. Lineage: Eukaryota; Metazoa; Chordata; Mammalia; Rodentia; Caviidae. The record is from Ensembl.
GGUUGGUCCAAGUGCAGUGGUGUUUACAACUAAUUGAUCACAACCAGUUACAGAUAUCUUUGUUCCUUCUCCACUCCCACUGCUUCACUUAACUAGCCUUUU